Molecule: ribosomal RNA, 1445 nt
Filed under: uncultured organism
Description: 16S ribosomal RNA
Rfam family: Bacterial small subunit ribosomal RNA
Source: RNAcentral
GCGGCAGGCUUAACACAUGCAAGUCGAGGGGCAGCGGGGAGGAAGCUUGCCUUCUCCGCCGGCGACCGGCGCACGGGUGAGUAACACGUAUGCAACCUGCCCCUGUCAGGGGGACAACCCGCCGAAAGGCGGGCUAAACCCGCGUACAUGCCACCGGGGCAUCCCGGAGGCAGGAAAGGCUUCGGCCGGACAGGGAUGGGCAUGCGGCGCAUUAGGCAGUAGGCGGGGUAACGGCCCACCUAACCGACGAUGCGUAGGGGUUCUGAGAGGAAGGUCCCCCACACUGGUACUGAGACACGGACCAGACUCCUGCGGGAGGCAGCAGUGAGGAAUAUUGGUCAAUGGUCGGGAGACUGAACCAGCCAAGCCGCGUGAGGGAUGAAGGUACAGAGUAUCGUAACCCUCUUUUGUCAGGGAACAAAGGCGGGGACGUGUCCCCGGAUGAGUGUACCUGAAGAAAAAGCAUCGGCGAACUCCGUGCCAGCAGCCGCGGUAAUACGGAGGAUGCGAGCGUUAUCCGGAUUUAUUGGGUUUAAAGGGUGCGCAGGCGGUCUGUUAAGUCAGCGGUCAAAGCCCGGGGCUCAACCCCGGCCCGCCGUUGAAACUGGCAGUCUCGAGUUGGAGAGAAGUAUGCGGAAUGCGCGGUGUAGCGGUGAAAUGCAUAGAUAUCGCGCAGAACUCCGAUUGCGAAGGCAGCAUGCCGGCUCCACACUGACGCUGAGGCACGAAAGCGUGGGUAUCGAACAGGAUUAGAUACCCUGGUAGUCCACGCAGUAAACGAUGAAUGCUGGCUGUCCGGGGGGGACUGACCCCUGGGUGGCGAAGCGAAAGCGAUAAGCAUUCCACCUGGGGAGUACGCCGGCAACGGUGAAACUCAAAGGAAUUGACGGGGGCCCGCACAAGCGGAGGAACAUGUGGUUUAAUUCGAUGAUACGCGAGGAACCUUACCCGGGCUCAAACGGGGAGUGACUCAGGCAGAGACGCCUGUUUCCCACGGGACACUCCCCGAGGUGCUGCAUGGUUGUCGUCAGCUCGUGCCGUGAGGUGUCGGCUUAAGUGCCAUAACGAGCGCAACCCCCGCGUGCAGUUGCUAACAGAUAACGCUGAGGACUCUGCACGGACUGCCGGCGCAAGCCGCGAGGAAGGCGGGGAUGACGUCAAAUCAGCACGGCCCUUACGUCCGGGGCGACACACGUGUUACAAUGGGUGGUACAGCGGGAAGCCAGGCGGCGACGCCGAGCGGAACCCGAAAUCCACUCUCAGUUCGGAUCGGAGUCUGCAACCCGACUCCGUGAAGCUGGAUUCGCUAGUAAUCGCGCAUCAGCCAUGGCGCGGUGAAUACGUUCCCGGGCCUUGUACACACCGCCCGUCAAGCCAUGGGAGCCGAGGGCGCUUGAAGUGCGUCGCCGCGAGGCGCGCCCUAGAGCGAAAUCGGUGACUGGGGC